GAUGAACGCUCGCGAUAGGCUUAACACAUGCAAGUCGAGGGGUAACGUGUUGGAAGCUUGCUUCCGAUGACGACGACCGGCGGAUGGGUGCGUAACGCGUAUGCAACUUGCCUCACAGUGGAGAAUAACCCGGAGAAAUCCGGACUAAUGUUCCAUACACUCUUAAGUACUCCUGUACAUGAGAGGAAAGAUUUAUCGCUGUGAGAUAGGCAUGCGUCCUAUUAGGUAGUUGGUGAGGUAACGGCUCACCAAGCCGACGAUAGGUAGGGGUGCUGAGAGGCAGAUCCCCCACAUUGGGACUGAGACACGGCCCAAACUCCUACGGGAGGCAGCAGUGAGGAAUAUUGGUCAAUGGAGGAAACUCUGAACCAGCCAAGUCGCGUGAAGGAAGAAUGUCCUAAGGAUUGUAAACUUCUUUAGCGAGCGAGUAAGGACUUCCACGUGAUGGGAGUUUGAAAGUAGCUCGAGAAUAAGUAUCGGCUAACUCCGUG
RNAcentral lists this ribosomal RNA (491 nucleotides) under uncultured bacterium. RNAcentral describes it as "partial 16S ribosomal RNA". It matches the Rfam family "Bacterial small subunit ribosomal RNA", at positions 28 to 507 of the family's 1533-position model. The record is from RNAcentral.